CCAGAACCAAUCCCAACAUGAAGGUAUUUUAUCUGCUCUUCGCAUUCCUUAUACUUGCAUUCCUGCCUGAACCAGGGAAUGCUUGUUCCGAGUGCCGGAAAUGUAAUGCACACUGCAUGCGGCCUCCCUGUCCUAUAAACCACAGGAACCUUGGACCAAAGGAUUGUAUCAACCAAGAAGUGUGCUGUUUUCGAUACCACUCAGAAGAAUAAUGCCAUCUUCUUCAUCUACUGCCUGGGAUGUCUUCAAGAUCCGGCCAAUGACCUGACAUCACUGCUGGCUAUCGCUUUACCUUUCUUUAUAUAAAUCCAAAUUGCUGUCUAUCAGACUCUAAAACAUUUAUGCCUUGAAGUAAAAUGUGGCAACUCUUCCUUGAAAUACAGCUA
Long non-coding RNA from Crotalus tigris (Tiger rattlesnake), 386 nucleotides. RefSeq lists it as uncharacterized. The transcript has 3 exons. NCBI's taxonomy places the organism in Eukaryota, Metazoa, Chordata, Lepidosauria, Squamata, Viperidae. The record is from RefSeq and is a predicted model, not a curated record.